Molecule: ribosomal RNA, 340 nt
Filed under: Antichiropus apricus
Lineage: Eukaryota; Metazoa; Arthropoda; Diplopoda; Polydesmida; Paradoxosomatidae
Description: partial 28S ribosomal RNA
Rfam family: Eukaryotic large subunit ribosomal RNA
Source: RNAcentral
CCAAGAAGUCUAACGUGUGGGCGAGUCUUCGGGGACCUUGUGAACCCUAUGAAGGCGUAAUAAAAGUGAAGGUCCCGCGCGCGUCCGUCCUCGUGUCGGUUGCGUGCGCGGGGCUGCAGUGGGAUCCCCAGUCUAAGGGCUGGGGCGCACCACUGGCCCGUCCUAUGACCGCUUCGCCGGUCGGGCGGAGCAAGAGCCCACGCGUUGGGACCCGAAAGAUGGUGAACUAUGCCUGGGCAGGACGAGGCCAGAGGAAACUCUGGUGGAAGUCCGCAGCGGUUCUGACGUGCAAAUCGAUCGUCGGACCUGGGUAUAGGGGCGAAAGACUAAUCGAACCAUC